RNAcentral lists this long non-coding RNA (919 nucleotides) under Nicotiana benthamiana. Its description in RNAcentral is "long non-coding RNA (NBEN_LNC027286)". The record is from RNAcentral. Lineage: Eukaryota; Viridiplantae; Streptophyta; Magnoliopsida; Solanales; Solanaceae.
GGCUGGAUUUCCUCCCCAUACCUGUUCAUGAAAAAGCAACAUCAGUUACAUUUAUUAGCAAUGUAAAGGUAAAUCAAUUGUCUACCAUAGUUCACCAUCCCAAUAAAUGGAAGUGCACUAUGCUGACAAGCUGAAACGAUGGCAGAGAAUGUUGAAACAAACUCAAAAUGGAUUUUACCUAGGAACUUACGUCUAUUUGAAUCUUAAGUCAUCUUUGCCUAUUCGUCACAGUUAUUUAUAGUGUACAUAAACCAGUGUUGUCAAAGGCGAAAAGCUCUCCAAGUCUAUUGGGGCUUUAAGCGCAAAACAAUUCAAGUGUGGGCUUUAGUUAUAUAUAAAAAAAAUAAAAAAACGUACGGUAAAAAAAAAGCGUAAUUCAAGAAAAAAGUAACAAAUUCAUCCAUAAUGCUUUCCUUAACAACUAAUACACUUAUUUGCAGGUUGUAUUUGUUGUUUAGUACCGCUCGAUUCAAGAUAGAACUCAUGUUCAAUGUGAGGCACACACCUCAGUGCCUUGCCUACACCGAAGCACAAUUUAGGCGAGGUGAAGCACAGUCCCUGAGCUUCAGGGCUUAAGCGUGCUCAAAUGAGCCUUGGACAAUACUAAUUUAAACCUGCAAAGCGAGGGGUUGCUUCAGGGUGAAACCGUAUGCUUUAGAGAAGUGUGUCAAACAAUGACGUGCAAGGUGAUCCCAACAGGAGCUUGUCAGUUAUUUAGAUCCUUUGAGAGUUGUAUAAUUCAUGACUACCCACUGCAUCCAAUUUUUUAAAGGGAAAAGCGCAAAAACUGACAAAGUCAUGAGCCUAGAAGCAAGAAGCAAAAAGUGAUGUGAACAAUCUACAAUAACUUAGCACUAUAAUAGUCAACUUUCACUUGAAAUAGCUAAUUUUCAUCAUCCAAUAUACCACAAUGCCGAUA